Molecule: ribosomal RNA, 219 nt
Filed under: Staphylococcus aureus
Lineage: Bacteria; Bacillati; Bacillota; Bacilli; Caryophanales; Staphylococcaceae
Description: partial 16S ribosomal RNA
Rfam family: Bacterial small subunit ribosomal RNA
Source: RNAcentral
UAAGAUUAAGAUGACAACUCUAGAGCUAGAGCCUUCCCCUUCGGGGGACAAAGUGACAGGUGGUGCAUGGUUGUCGUCUGCUCGUGUCGUGAGAUGUUGGGUUAAGUCCCGCAACGAGCGCAACCCUUAAGAUUAGUUGCCAUCAUUUUGUUGGUCAAUCUAAGUUGACUGCCGGUGACAAACCGGAGGAAGGUGGGGAUGAGGUCAAUUCAUCAUGCC